UUGACAUCCAGAGAAUUUAGCAGGGAUGCUUUAGUGCCUUCGGGAACUCUGAGACAGGUGCUGCAUGGCUGUCGUCAGCUCGUGUUGUGAAAUGUUGGGUUAAGUCCCGCAACGAGCGCAACCCUUAUCCUUUGUUGCCAGCACGUAAUGGUGGGAACUCAAAGGAGACUGCCGGUGAUAAACCGGAGGAAGGUGGGGAUGACGUCAAGUCAUCAUGGCCCUUACGAGUAGGGCUACACACGUGCUACAAUGGCGCAUACAAAGAGAAGCGACCUCGCGAGAGCAAGCGGACCUCAUAAAGUGCGUCGUAGUCCGGAUUGGAGUCUGCAACUCGACUCCAUGAAGUCGGAAUCGCUAGUAAUCGUAAAUCAGAAUGUUACGGUGAAUACGUUCCCGGGCCUUGUACACACCGCCCGUCACACCAUGGGAGUGGGUUGCAAAAGAAGUAGAUAGCUUAACCUUCGGGAGGGCGUUUACCACUUUGUGAUUCAUGACUGGGGUGAAGUCGUAACAAGGUAAGCGUAGUGCU
This 529-nucleotide ribosomal RNA is filed under the name uncultured bacterium. RNAcentral's name for it is "bacterial SSU rRNA". It matches the Rfam family "Bacterial small subunit ribosomal RNA", at positions 981 to 1509 of the family's 1533-position model. The record is from RNAcentral.